AGCGAACGCUGGCGGCAGGCCUAACACAUGCAAGUCGAACGGAUCCUUCGGGAUUAGUGGCGGACGGGUGAGUAACACGUGGGAACGUGCCUUUUGGUUCGGAACAACUCAGGGAAACUUGAGCUAAUACCGAAUGUGCCCUUCGGGGAAGGAUUUAUCGCUUUAGGAGGGGCCCGCGUCGGAUUAGCUAGUUGGUGGGGUAACGGCCUACCAAGGCGAUGAUCCGUAGCUGGUCUGAGAGGAUGAUCAGCCACACUGGGACUGAGACACGGCCCAGACUCCUACGGGAGGCAGCAGUGGGGAAUUUUGGACAAUGGGGGCAACCCUGAUCCAGCCAUGCCGCGUGCGGGAAGAAGGCCUCGG
RNAcentral lists this ribosomal RNA (363 nucleotides) under uncultured bacterium. RNAcentral's name for it is "bacterial SSU rRNA". It matches the Rfam family "Bacterial small subunit ribosomal RNA", at positions 29 to 420 of the family's 1533-position model. The record is from RNAcentral.